UACGUAGGUGGCAAGCGUUGUCCGGGUUUACUGGGCGUAAAGAGCGCGCAGGCGGUCGUACAAGUCGCGUGUGAAAGCCCCCGGCUCAACUGGGGAGGGUCACGCGAUACUGUUCGACUCGAAGGCAGGAGAGGGAAGCGGAAUUCCCGGUGUAGUGGUGAAAUGCGUAGAUAUCGGGAGGAACACCAGUGGCGAAGGCGGCUUCCUGGCCUGUUCUUGACGCUGAGGCGCGAAAGCUAGGGUAGCAAACGGG
Molecule: ribosomal RNA, 253 nt
Filed under: uncultured bacterium
Lineage: Bacteria
Description: partial 16S ribosomal RNA
Rfam family: Bacterial small subunit ribosomal RNA
Source: RNAcentral